CGGCGAACCGCGCAGUGCGCUUCUUCUGCCUGCAGCAGAGAAAAGGAAAGAAAACUCCGCAGGGGCUCCGUUGGCUUCUUCACGAGUGACAACCAUGUUUUCCCAGAUAGAAGACCGGAGCCCUGCUCCUUUGCGAUCCGCCGAGGGCUGCAGAGAGCAUCCUCAUCCAUUUGGGCACCCCUGCCCAGGAAGAGCCCGGCCAUCCCUUUCCAGACUGGAUCCUUAAGAGGUGAAUUUUCUUCCGUGGAUUCCGAUUUGCUCCGUCUGACCAGCCUAGGCAAUCCAGCAUCGCGUGGUACCAGUGCCGCUGGGCACACUCGCUUCACGCCGGCUCCGCCUCACCAGCAAGCGCAUUCCCAGAUAAAACACUAACUCAGAGAAGAAAUUUAACUGCAGAUUUGGUUAAUGACCUUGGAUUCCAAAUGAGAAGAAAACCUAGACACUGAGAGUUUAGAAUAAACUCAAGAAUCUUAAAAAUUUUCCCAUUGAACUGCCUUUGCACCUCUAUAAAAAAUUAAUUGACCAUAUGGUAAGUAACAUGUGAGUUUACAUUGAGG
RNAcentral lists this long non-coding RNA (557 nucleotides) under Pan troglodytes (chimpanzee). RNAcentral describes it as "long non-coding RNA NONPTRT011508". Lineage: Eukaryota; Metazoa; Chordata; Mammalia; Primates; Hominidae. The record is from RNAcentral.